CCUACGGGAGGCUGCAGUGAGGAAUAUUGGUCAAUGGGCGGAAGCCUGAACCAGCCAAGUAGCGUGCAGGAUGACGGCCCUACGGGUUGUAAACUGCUUUUAUACGGGAAUAACGCGCCUUACGUGUAGGGCUUUGCAUGUACCGUAUGAAUAAGGACCGGCUAAUUCCGUGCCAGCAGUCGCGGUAAUAGGGAAGGUCCGGGUGUUAUCCGGAUUUAUUGGGUUUAAAGGGAGCGUAGGCCGCAUGUCAAGCGUGCUGUGAAAUGUCCGGGCUCAACCCGGGCCUUGCAGCGCGAACUGGCUGGCGUGAGUCCGCGGAAAGCAGGCGGAAGUCGUCGUGUAGCGGGGAAAUGCUUAGAUAUGACGAAGAACCCCGAUUGCGAAGGCAGCUUGCUGCAGCGGAACUGACGCUGAUGCUCGAAGGUGCGGGUAUCAAACAGGAUUAGAUACCCGAGUAGUC
RNAcentral lists this ribosomal RNA (460 nucleotides) under uncultured bacterium. Its description in RNAcentral is "partial 16S ribosomal RNA". It matches the Rfam family "Bacterial small subunit ribosomal RNA", at positions 338 to 795 of the family's 1533-position model. The record is from RNAcentral.